GAUGAACGCUGGCGGCGUGCCUAAUACAUGCCAGUAGAACGCUGAAGGAGGAGCUUGCUCUUCUGGAUGAGUUGCGAACGGGUGAGUAACGCGUAGGUAACCUGCCUGGUAGCGGGGGAUAACUAUUGGAAACGAUAGCUAAUACCGCAUGACAACAGUUAUUGCAUGAUAACUGUUUAAAAGGGGCAACUGCUCCACUACCAGAUGGACCUGCGUUGUAUUAGCUAGUUGGUGAGGUAACGGCUCACCAAGGCGACGAUACAUAGCCGACCUGAGAGGGUGAUCGGCCACACUGGGAUUGAGACACGGCCCAGACUCCUACGGGAGGCAGCAGUAGGGAAUCUUCGGCAAUGGACGGAAGUCUGACCGAGCAACGCCGCGUGAGUGAAGAAGGUUUUCGGAUCGUAAAGCUCUGUUGUAAGAGAAGAACGAGUGUGAGAGUGGAAAGUUCACACUGUGACGGUAUCUUACCAGAAAGGGACGGCUAACUACGUG
This 495-nucleotide ribosomal RNA is filed under the name uncultured bacterium. Its description in RNAcentral is "partial 16S ribosomal RNA". It matches the Rfam family "Bacterial small subunit ribosomal RNA", at positions 28 to 507 of the family's 1533-position model. The record is from RNAcentral.